UCCUAUGCACAGGUCCCAGUCUUUUAUUGC
This 30-nucleotide non-coding RNA is filed under the name Mus musculus (house mouse). Lineage: Eukaryota; Metazoa; Chordata; Mammalia; Rodentia; Muridae. The record is from RNAcentral.